Molecule: long non-coding RNA, 455 nt
Filed under: Pan paniscus (pygmy chimpanzee)
Lineage: Eukaryota; Metazoa; Chordata; Mammalia; Primates; Hominidae
Description: lncRNA (ENSPPAG00000044608.1)
Source: RNAcentral
CAAGCAUUUUUACAUUAUAUAGUAUUUAAACUCAGUUUUUGUUUCCUCUUAUGUCAUAAACUUUUUACAGAGCUUAUUGACACAGUAUUUUUCUUUCCCUUCAAUUUUCCACAGACUAAAAAGGAGGAAGAAGAGCUUUCUCUGGAAAUGAAAUCAAGCAGCUUUCCUUGUAUUGAAAGGAAAGCGGCUGAAGACAGAGUGUUCCAAGAACCAAGAGAAUGAAUGUGGCUGAUGUGUGGAGAGAAGAGAUGGACCAAGAUGAGACUGGAAAGUCUACUGCUGGGGCUGUUAACCAAACCCAACUCAUAAAGCAGAGGAUAAGAGAUCUUUUGACACAGUCUGGAAAAGUUGUAGAAGGCUGUUCAGCCAUGCCUAGGAGCAAGCCAACAGUAAGGAAGAUGAAUGCUUUCCAUUACAGCUCUCCAAAAAUGGGGAAUGUGAGUCAAGGAGUGUGA